UACGUAGGGUCCGAGCGUUAAUCGGAAUUACUGGGCGUAAAGCGUGCGCAGGCGGUUUUGUAAGCCAGAUGUGAAAGCCCCGGGCUCAACCUGGGAACUGCAUUUGGGACUGCAAGGCUGGAGUACGGCAGAGGGAUGUGGAAUUCUAGGUGUAGCGGUGAAAUGCGUAGAUAUCUGGAGGAACACCGGUGGCGAAGGCGGCAUCCUGGACCGGUAUUGACGCUGAGGCGCGAAAGCCAGGGGAGCAAACGGG
RNAcentral lists this ribosomal RNA (253 nucleotides) under uncultured bacterium. Its description in RNAcentral is "partial 16S ribosomal RNA". It matches the Rfam family "Bacterial small subunit ribosomal RNA", at positions 524 to 776 of the family's 1533-position model. The record is from RNAcentral.